UACGGAGGGUGCGAGCGUUAAUCGGAAUUACUGGGCGUAAAGCGCACGUAGGCGGUUGGGUAAGUCGGAUGUGAAAGCCCUGGGCUUAACCUGGGAACUGCAUUCGAUACUGCUCGGCUAGAGUAUGGGAGAGGGAAGCGGAAGUUCCGGUGUAGCGGUGAAAUGCGUAGAUAUCGGAAGGAACACCAAUGGCGAAGGCAGCUUCCUGGACCAAUACUGACGCUCAGGUGCGAAAGCGUGGGGAUCAAACAGG
This 253-nucleotide ribosomal RNA is filed under the name uncultured bacterium. RNAcentral's name for it is "partial 16S ribosomal RNA". It matches the Rfam family "Bacterial small subunit ribosomal RNA", at positions 524 to 776 of the family's 1533-position model. The record is from RNAcentral.